UACGUAGGGACCAAGCGUUGUUCGGAUUUACGUGGGCGUAAAGGGCGCGUAGGCGGCGUGGUAAGUCACUUGUGAAAUCUCUGAGCUUAACUCAGAACGGCCAAGUGAUACUGCUGUGCUAGAGUGCAGAAGGGGCAAUCGGAAUUCUUGGUGUAGCGGUGAAAUGCGUAGAUAUCAAGAGGAACACCUGAGGUGAAGACGGGUUGCUGGGCUGACACUGACGGCUGAUGCGCGAAAGCCAGGGGAGCAAACGGG
RNAcentral lists this ribosomal RNA (255 nucleotides) under uncultured bacterium. RNAcentral's name for it is "partial 16S ribosomal RNA". It matches the Rfam family "Bacterial small subunit ribosomal RNA", at positions 524 to 776 of the family's 1533-position model. The record is from RNAcentral.